RNAcentral lists this ribosomal RNA (810 nucleotides) under crenarchaeote enrichment culture clone ASK_5. Its description in RNAcentral is "bacterial SSU rRNA". It matches the Rfam family "Archaeal small subunit ribosomal RNA", at positions 85 to 879 of the family's 1478-position model. Lineage: Archaea; Thermoproteati; Thermoproteota. The record is from RNAcentral.
ACGGCUCAGUAACACGUGGUCAAUCUACCCUCAGGACGGAGAUAACCUCGGGAAACUGAGGCUAAUAUCCGAUAGAUAAUGGAUCCUGGAAUGGUUCAUUAUUCAAACGGCACAUUGCUCAUGCGCAGUGUGUCGCCUGAGGAUGAGACUGCACCCUAUCAGGUAGUUGGUGGGGUAAUGGCCCACCAAGCCUAUAACGGGUACGGGCCCUGAGAGGGGGAGCCCGGAGAUGGGCACUGAGACAAGGGCCCAGGCCCUACGGGGCGCAGCAGGCGCGAAACCUCUGCAAUGCGCGAAAGCGCGACAGGGCCACCCCGAGUGCUAGCCGCUGAGGUUAGCUUUUCCUUAGUGUAGUAAGCUAAGGGAAUAAGCGGGGGGCAAGCCUGGUGUCAGCCGCCGCGGUAAUACCAGCUCCGCGAGUGGUCGGGACGAUUAUUGGGCCUAAAGCGUCCGUAGCCGGCCUAUCAAGUCUCUGGUUAAACCUCAAGGCUCAACCUUGAGAUCGCUGGAGAUACUGUUAGGCUAGGGGGCGGGAGAGGUUGAGGGUACUUCGCGGGUAGGGGCGAAAUCCUAUAAUCCGCGAAGGACCACCAGUGGCGAAGGCGCUCAACUGGAACGCGCCCGACGGUGAGGGACGAAAGCCAGGGGAGCAAAGGGGAUUAGAUACCCCCGUAGUCCUGGCUGUAAACGAUGCGGGCUAGGUGUUGGGUUGGCUUCGUGCCAACCCGGUGCCGCAGUGAAGACGAUAAGCCCGCCGCCUGGGAAGUACGGCUGCAAGGCUGAAACUUAAAGGAAUUGGCGGGGGAGCAC